RNAcentral lists this transfer RNA (75 nucleotides) under Aquisphaera giovannonii. Its description in RNAcentral is "tRNA-Asp". It matches the Rfam family "tRNA". From Rfam's summary of the family: Transfer RNA (tRNA) molecules are approximately 80 nucleotides in length. Their secondary structure includes four short double-helical elements and three loops (D, anti-codon, and T loops). Lineage: Bacteria; Pseudomonadati; Planctomycetota; Planctomycetia; Isosphaerales; Isosphaeraceae. RNAcentral also lists the same sequence under 2 other names. The record is from RNAcentral.
GGGGAUGUAGCUCAAUUGGUUAGAGCACCGGCCUGUCACGCCGGAGGUUGCGGGUUCGAGCCCCGUCAUCCUCGC